Molecule: ribosomal RNA, 253 nt
Filed under: uncultured bacterium
Lineage: Bacteria
Description: partial 16S ribosomal RNA
Rfam family: Bacterial small subunit ribosomal RNA
Source: RNAcentral
UACGUAGGGAGCAAGCGUUGUCCGGAAUCAUUGGGCGUAAAGCGCGCGUAGGUGGCCCCAUAAGUCCGCUGUGAAAGUCAAAGGCUCAACCUUUGAAAGCCGGUGGAUACUGUGGGACUAGAGUACGGAAGAGGCGAGUGGAAUUCCUGGUGUAGCGGUGGAAUGCGCAGAUAUCAGGAGGAACACCAAUAGCGAAGGCAGCUCGCUGGGACGUUACUGACACUGAGGCACGAAAGCGUGGGGAGCAAACAGG